Molecule: long non-coding RNA, 844 nt
Organism: Olea europaea var. sylvestris
Lineage: Eukaryota; Viridiplantae; Streptophyta; Magnoliopsida; Lamiales; Oleaceae
Exons: 2
Source: RefSeq, a predicted model, not a curated record
UAGACGACACUGUGUAAGAUCGACCAACGCUCGAAGACGUUGUUCUUCCAACUUGAAGCAGUCGACGUCGCCGAAGGUUGCCUAAGAAAGAGUUCUACCAGACGAAAUAGUUCGACUACAGAAGAAAUAGUUCUACCGGUGCGACGAAGACGUAAGAGACUGCGUAAGAAAGAGUUUUACAUGCGCUCCAUUGAAGCAAUGGCUGUGACAUUUGAAACUUGGCUAUGGAAGAAAGAGUUCCUCGGUCUUGAAGCUGCCACGCACUUCCCAGAUUCGAGCAGAUUUGAGUAGAUGACGAACAACGGCAAGGAAAUUGUGAAAGAGGCGGAUGACGUCAUUCUAUUACAGUCCCAAACUGACAACAUUUUGGAAAGUGAGAAAGUCGUGGAUGAUGGAAUUGAAGGGGUAGACAGUGUGAUUGUGCCUGCUGUGGGUAUAAAGUUCAACAUAAUACAGUUUCUUAAAUGCUUUACCAUUGCGAGAUGCAGAUUCUUAUAGGUGGCUAUAAGAGGAAGACAACUUCAUGCAGAUUCUGUGCACUGUCAACACCUUGGAUUUGGCUUGUUGAGGCAUGUGAAUAGCUUGAUCAAGCAGUUAAUGUAUUAGGUUUUAUGUCCAUCAUGUCUCUGUUAUGUCCAACUGUAAAGACUAUGUUUGGUCUGAUGUUAUGCAGUUAAUGUAGUCAGUUUUGAUGACUAUGUUUGGUCUGAUGUUAUGUAGUUAAUGUAGUCAGUUUUGAGGCUUGUCAAUACGUUGGGAUUAAUUGUAUUGAUCUUGUUAAAAUUAUUCCCAAACAGUUGUAGCAACUUCCGUUCAACAGCAUAAUUAAGAUUGAAGCUUAAAG